This 500-nucleotide ribosomal RNA is filed under the name uncultured bacterium. RNAcentral's name for it is "partial 16S ribosomal RNA". It matches the Rfam family "Bacterial small subunit ribosomal RNA", at positions 30 to 523 of the family's 1533-position model. The record is from RNAcentral.
AUUGAACGCUGGCGGAAUGCUUUACACAUGCAAGUCGAACGGCAGCACGGACUUCGGUCUGGUGGCGAGUGGCGAACGGGUGAGUAAUGUAUCGGAACGUGCCCAGUCGUGGGGGAUAACGUAGUGAGAAUUACGCUAAUACCGCAUACGAUCUAUGGAUGAAAGCGGGGGAUCGCAAGACCUCGCGCGAUUGGAGCGGCCGAUAUCAGAUUAGGUAGUUGGUGGGGUAAAGGCCCACCAAGCCAACGAUCUGUAGCUGGUCUGAGAGGACGACCAGUCACACUGGAACUGAGACACGGUCCAGACUCCUACGGGAGGCAGCAGUGGGGAAUUUUGGACAAUGGGCGAAAGCCUGAUCCAGCCAUUCCGCGUGCAGGAUGAAGGCCCUCGGGUUGUAAACUGCUUUUGUACAGAACGAAAAGGUUUCUACUAAUACUAGGAGCUCAUGACGGUACUGUAAGAAUAAGCACCGGCUAACUACGUGCCAGCAGCCGCAGUAA